Molecule: unclassified non-coding RNA, 280 nt
Organism: Saimiri boliviensis boliviensis (Bolivian squirrel monkey)
Lineage: Eukaryota; Metazoa; Chordata; Mammalia; Primates; Cebidae
Rfam family: Metazoan signal recognition particle RNA
About the family: The signal recognition particle (SRP) is a universally conserved ribonucleoprotein. It is involved in the co-translational targeting of proteins to membranes. The eukaryotic SRP consists of a 300-nucleotide 7S RNA and six proteins: SRPs 72, 68, 54, 19, 14, and 9.
Source: Ensembl
CCUGUAGUCCCAGUUACUGGGGAGGCUGAGGUGGGAGGAUCGCUUAAGCCCAGGAGUUCUGGGCUGCAGUGCGCUAUGCCAAGCAGGUGUCUGCACUAAGUUCAGCAUCAAUAUGGUGACCUCCCGGGAAUGGGGGACCACCAGGUUGCCUGAGGAGGGGUGAACCAGCCCAGGUUGGAAACGAGCAGGUCAAAACUCCUAUGCUGAUCAGUAGUGGAAUCGUGCCUGUGAACAGCCACUGCACUCCAGCCUGGGCAAUAUAGCAGAAGACCUGUAUCUU